CGCCCAAAAUACUUAAACCGGAUUGAAAUUUUGGCUAAAUUACAGAAAACCCCCCUGUCAAAAUCUGAUUUUUCACUUCCCCCCCUAUAUUUAAAAACCUGCACUUUGCCCUCCUGAAAAAUGAGAAAUGUUCACAGGGGGAUNGUUGAAGAAAAAUCUAACAGAGAUCAAAGAUGAGAUAAAUAAUUUUUUUAUUAGGAACAGAACUAUAUAAUUUUUUUUUAAUGAAAUUUUGGCUAAAUUACAGAAAACCCCCCUGUCAAAAUCUGAUUUUUCACUUCCCCCCCUAUAUUUAAAAACCUGCACUUUGCCCUCCUGAAAAAUGAGAAAUGUUCACAGGGGGAUACACCGUGAGAAAAUGACCAAAAUGCCCCCACCAUCUUCGUCUUCUCCCCCAACCUCGCUCAGUCGUCGCCCCACCUCUUCCGUUCUUCGCGCCUCGCUCAACCGCAGCUCCGACUCCAUUUUCCUCCACAUGCUUCCCCACUCUUCCUGCACUCGCGUUGCCUGCCCAUUUCGGCGAUGAUAGGGAAGAAAUCGGAGUGGUCAUGGAUGGAGAGGCAUGCGAGGGCAAGCAGCGGAGAAGGGCGAAGGGGAUGUGGGUGACGGCAAGGGCGAAGCAGUGGAGCUAGGAGGGCGAGGCGGCGAGGCGGUUGUGAGGCGGAGGGAGGCGAAG
RNAcentral lists this long non-coding RNA (676 nucleotides) under Ananas comosus (pineapple). RNAcentral's name for it is "long non-coding RNA (ACOM_LNC027773)". The record is from RNAcentral. Lineage: Eukaryota; Viridiplantae; Streptophyta; Magnoliopsida; Poales; Bromeliaceae.